This 775-nucleotide ribosomal RNA is filed under the name uncultured Neocallimastigales. RNAcentral describes it as "partial large subunit ribosomal RNA". It matches the Rfam family "Eukaryotic large subunit ribosomal RNA", at positions 24 to 628 of the family's 3401-position model. The record is from RNAcentral. Lineage: Eukaryota; Fungi; Neocallimastigomycota; Neocallimastigomycetes; Neocallimastigales.
UAUGUGAUCGUCUCUCGCAUAUCAAUAAGCGGAGGAAAAGAAACUAACAAGGAUUCCCCUAGUAACGGCGAGUGAAGCGGGAAGAGCUCAAAUUUGAAAUCUUAAAGGGUUUCCCUUUACGAAUUGUAGUUUAAAGAAGUGUUUUCUGUUGAGGUUUUGGUAAAAGUUCUUUGGAAUAGGACAUCAUAGAGGGUGAGAAUCCCGUAUUUGACCUUUACUUUCAACUUUGUGAUACACUUUCAAAGAGUCGGAUUGUUUGGGAAUGCAGUCCAAAAUGGGUGGUAAAUUUCAUCUAAAGCUAAAUAUUGGCGAGAGACCGAUAGCGAACAAGUACCGUGAGGGAAAGAUGAAAAGAACUUUGAAAAGAGAGUUAAACAGUACGUGAAAUUGUCAAAAGGGAAGCGUUUGACACCAGUGUUGUUUUUCUGAAAAUCAAUUAAAGAACUGUUUAUGCUAAGUUGUUUAGACUUUAUCAGCUAUCUGCUUAGUUUUGAGCUUUUCUUUAAUAGCACUUUUCAGUUAACAAGUCAACAUCAAUUUCUUUUGCUGUAAAAAAGCUUGAGGAAGGUGGCUUGAAAUUCGUCUUAAGUGUUUAUAGCCUCUUGCCUAUGCAGUCGGAGAGAUUGAGGUCUGCAGCGUAGAUCCUUCGGGGCUAAAUGCAUUUGUGCUAAGUUAUAGCAUUUUAUAGACAACUUGUUGACUAUGAUUUGUCUUGUAGCUUACUCGCUUAUGUUAUUUUACCUACGCUUAGGAUGUUGAGUCGUAGAGCACGCAG